GGCGUGCUUCAUACACGCAAGUCGAACGAGAAGCAGGAGCUUGCUCCUGUGGAAAGUGGCGGACGGGUGAGUAACACGUAGGAAAUCUGCCUUUGGGUGGGGGACAACAGUUGGAAACGACUGCUAAUACCCCAUAUGAGCUUGGUUGCAAUACCAAUCUUGAAAACUCCGGUGCCUAAAGAUGAGCCUGCGUCUGAUUAGCUUGUUGGCGGGGUAAUGGCCCACCAAGGCGACGAUCAGUAGCUGGUUUGAGAGGAUGAUCAGCCACAAUGGGACUGAGACACGGCCCAUACUCCUACGGGAGGCUGCAGUAGGGAAUUUUGCGCAAUAGGGGAAACCCUGACGCAGCAACGCCGCGUGAAUGACGAAGCCCUUCGGGGUGUAAAGUUCUGUCGGUAGGGAAGAAUUUUGACUGUACCUACAAAGGAAGCACCGGCUAACUCCGUGCCAGCAGCCGCGGUAA
Molecule: ribosomal RNA, 463 nt
Filed under: uncultured bacterium
Lineage: Bacteria
Description: partial 16S ribosomal RNA
Rfam family: Bacterial small subunit ribosomal RNA
Source: RNAcentral